AAUGUGGUGGAAUUCGUGACAUCACAUCAUUUACCAUCACAGUUGAUGCAGCUGCUUUGGCUGAUUGGACAGUCCCUUUCUAUAAUCACUGCUCUUUUGAGGGUUCCUCCCAAUAUUUCCAACUUGCUGGAAAAGAACCAAUUUCUCAUUAGUGGAAAAUCAUUCUUUGGUCAAGGAUAUGAAACUAGUACCUAUAUAACCAUGAAG
Molecule: unclassified non-coding RNA, 207 nt
Organism: Vicugna pacos (alpaca)
Lineage: Eukaryota; Metazoa; Chordata; Mammalia; Artiodactyla; Camelidae
Gene: 7SK
Rfam family: 7SK RNA
About the family: 7SK was discovered as an abundant small nuclear RNA in the mid-70s but a possible function has only recently been suggested. Two independent studies have found that 7SK RNA binds the CDK9/cyclin T complex (known as elongation factor P-TEFb).
Source: Ensembl